GAACGAACGCUGGCGGCGUGCUUAAGACAUGCAAGUCGAACGGUAAGGCCCCUUCGGGGGUACACGAGUGGCGCACGGGUGAGUAACGCGUGGGUAAUCUACCGCCGGACCGGGACAACUCCGGGAAACUGGAGCUAAUACCGGAUGAGACCACGAGAUCCCCGGAUCUCGCGGAAAAAGGAUGGCCUCUGCUUGCAAGCUAUCGCCUGACGAUGAGCCCGCGUCCCCAUUAGCUAGUUGGUGAGGUAACGGCUCACCAAGGCAGUGAUGGGUAGCUGGUCUGAGAGGAUGAUCAGCCACACUGGGACUGAGACACGGCCCAGACUCCUACGGAGGCAGCAGUCGGGAAUUUUGGGCAAUGGGCGAAAGCCUGACCCAGCAACGCCGCGUGAGGGAUGAAGGCCUUCGGGUCGUAAACCUCUGUCGGGAGGGAAGAAUGUCCUCGGGGUGAACAAUCCCGGGGCUGACGGUACCUCCAAAGGAAGCGCCGGCUAACUCCGUGCCAGCAGCCGCGGUAA
RNAcentral lists this ribosomal RNA (518 nucleotides) under uncultured delta proteobacterium. RNAcentral's name for it is "bacterial SSU rRNA". It matches the Rfam family "Bacterial small subunit ribosomal RNA", at positions 27 to 523 of the family's 1533-position model. The record is from RNAcentral. Lineage: Bacteria; Deltaproteobacteria.